GCACCUAAUUGGCUUGUUUUGAGUCUAAUUGGAUUAGAUUUGAUAAAUCAUUUAUUUUUGACCGUUAGAUCUUCAUCUACCGUUGGAUGAAGACAUAAUGGUGAGUUGGUUUGAACCCAAUUAGAUUGGGUUAAGAAAGGCUUUUAAUCAUGACCAUUUGAUCUUCAUCAGCAAUUGGAUGAAGACAUAAUAUGAUUAUGAUGAGGCGCCUUGCAUUGGGACCAUUGGAUCAUCUUAGAACCGUUGGAUGAUGACAUAACUCCCCUUACUCAUGGCGCCUUGCAUUCUAGCCCUUGGAUCUUCAUCAAGAGAUGAUGGAUGAUCAAGAUUCAUGGCGUGAUGGAUCAGCAUUUGAUGUUGACUUGGUCAACAUCAGAUGGCGUGAAGAUGGACUUAUGAUGGCGUGAAAAAGGAGAGUGCCGCAUGAGGUGUUUUGGAUAAGGAUGCCAUAACCACCUCUUCACAUGAUACGCCUC
This 476-nucleotide long non-coding RNA is filed under the name Phoenix dactylifera (date palm). RNAcentral describes it as "long non-coding RNA (PDAC_LNC010926)". Lineage: Eukaryota; Viridiplantae; Streptophyta; Magnoliopsida; Arecales; Arecaceae. The record is from RNAcentral.